CGGGGUGCAGCAGGCGCGAAAACUUUGCAAUAAGCGAAAGCUUGACAGGGCUAUCCCGAGUGCCAUCCGCUGAGGAAGGCUUUUACCCAGUCUAGAACGCUGGGGGAAUAAGGAGAGGGCAAGUCUGGUGUCAGCCGCCGCGGUAAUACCAGCUCUCCGAGUGGUGUGGAUGUUUAUUGGGCCUAAAGCAUCCGUAGCUGGCUAAGUUAGUCCCUUGUUAAAUCCACCGAAUUAAUCGUUGGAUUGCGGGGGAUACUGCUUGGCUAGGGGACGAGAGAGGCAGACGGUAUUUCCGGGGUAGGGGUGAAAUCCUAUAAUCCCGGGAAGACCACCAGUGGCGAAGGCUGUCUGCUAGAACGCGCCCGACGGUGAGGGAUGAAAGCUGGGGGAGCGAACCGGAUUAGAUACCCGGGUAGUCCCAGCUGUAAACGAUGCAGGCUAGGUGUUUGGACGGCCACGUGCCGCUCUAGUGCCGCAGGGAAGCUGUUAAGCCUGCCGCCUGGGGAGUACGAUCGCAAGAUUGAAACUUAAAGGAAUUGGCGGGGGAGCA
This 550-nucleotide ribosomal RNA is filed under the name uncultured archaeon. RNAcentral describes it as "bacterial SSU rRNA". It matches the Rfam family "Archaeal small subunit ribosomal RNA", at positions 326 to 878 of the family's 1478-position model. The record is from RNAcentral.